UCUUAUCUCUCUUUAACAACCUUCCCAGGCCAAGGGGUUUGAGGCGGGGAGGACUGGGGGUCCUGACGGCCCAGACCCUGGAGACCUCCUCUUACAGGAUGGGCAGCCUAGGGGCAGCCCUGGUUGGGGGUGUUGGGGAGAGGAGGGGAAUUUGGGGUGCGGGUCCUGUCCAGAGCCCAGUGGGAGAGUGGGGCCUGGGGUGGCCAGCACUGAAUCUGGGGGGCACAGCAAUGGAACAUGGUUUGGGGCUUCCUGCCUCCUUGUGGUGGGCACUGGGGCCAGGUUUGCCGGGCGGUCCCUGCACAGGCCCCCAGGCCGCCUGGGGAACCUGGGACUGGUGGGGGUGAGGCUGCAGGCCCGGCUCGCAGAGGGGUCAGUGUCUUGUGGCCACGCUCUUCUGCAGGGUCCAGCUUGCUGGGCCCGAAGAGGAGAAGGCCCUCAGCCCCCGCAUCCCAGGCUGAGCUGGGAGUCCAGCAUGAUUUGGCUUGCUGGGUGGGGGGGUGCUGUUUAAAGCUCCCCUGCCCUGAUUCUAAGGUGCAGCCAGACAGAGACUCCUGGUCCUGGGGCCCCAGCCCCUCUCCCUCCUGCAGAGGCGGAUUCUGAACCACUGAGCCAUCCGGAAGCCCCUGCGCCACGACUGCUGAGCCCAUGAGCUGCAACUAUCGACCCGUGUGCUGCAACCACUUAAGCCCUUGUGCCCAAGAGAGGCCCCCACGAUGAGCAGCCCGGAGCUGGAGAGCAGCCCCCACUCAGUCGCAACUGGAGAAAAGCCCGAGCAGCGACAAAGACCCACCAUGGCCAAAGAUAAAUAA
Bos taurus (domestic cattle) is the source of this 812-nucleotide long non-coding RNA. The record is from Ensembl. Lineage: Eukaryota; Metazoa; Chordata; Mammalia; Artiodactyla; Bovidae.